This is a long non-coding RNA of Neofelis nebulosa (Clouded leopard), 601 nucleotides long. RefSeq lists it as uncharacterized. NCBI's taxonomy places the organism in Eukaryota, Metazoa, Chordata, Mammalia, Carnivora, Felidae. The transcript has 3 exons. The record is from RefSeq and is a predicted model, not a curated record.
GGUCCUCGGCCUGUUUCAGAGCCCAGAGCACCCAAUCGGAUGUUAAAGAGUUUCAAGUCUAGUGAAGAAGGUUGAUGUUCACACAACUACCUCUAGAAGAAUGCAGAGUGUGGUUUCAACGUUAGUAAAUGGAGCCUGCUUGAUAGAGAAAGGAAGAGCAUUCCAGGGGAAGAGUGACUAGAACACCGUCUGGCAUAGUAGAUGCACAAGAAAUAUUGUGGAAUGACUUGUGACCUCCACGGACAGGACUGGAGAAAGAGAAGAGAAGCAGUAUGAGAAAACCAGACAGGAUGGAAAGCUAAACAUAGUGAGGACCAUGUUGACAUUGCCCUUACUACAGGACAAGGUAAUGCUAAUGACUCUCAAUGCCUAAGUCACGCUAUCCAUUAUUAGCUUCUAGUCACACACAAGGCUACAGAGAAUGUGCAAUGUGGCUAGUGCAAAUUAAGAUGUUCAGUAAGCAUCAAAUACACACUAGGUUUCAAAACUUAGCAGAAAGAAAACAAGAAUGUAAAAUAUCAAAUUAAUAAUUUCAGUGUGGGGCGCCUGGGUGGCUCGGUAGGUUAAGCAUCCAGCUUCGGCUCAGGUCAUGAUCUCACGU